GACAGGAUGGCUGAAAUAAUAGGCUGUAAAUUGUAAAUUUAUAAAUGGUUGAACCUCCUGUUA
Molecule: transfer RNA, 63 nt
Filed under: Malcus auriculatus
Lineage: Eukaryota; Metazoa; Arthropoda; Insecta; Hemiptera; Malcidae
Description: tRNA-Tyr
Source: RNAcentral